This is a long non-coding RNA of Apis laboriosa (Himalayan honeybee), 1766 nucleotides long. RefSeq lists it as uncharacterized. Lineage: Eukaryota; Metazoa; Arthropoda; Insecta; Hymenoptera; Apidae. The transcript has 3 exons. The record is from RefSeq and is a predicted model, not a curated record.
CGCACUUUACCGUAUGUCUGGUAUAUUAUGUGUUUAUUUUGUAUACAUAUUCGCAUCGACGAUUCUCUAUCUGGAGAAUGGAUUUACAGGAACUAAAAAUUUCACGUUCAAGAAUUAUUAACCCUGAUUAAAACAAAAACCUAAGAAAUCGUUUCACGGUCUAGAGGUUACACGUCGAGGAAGGAAUUACCAGUAAAGACUCGAAGGAAAGGAGUGAAAGAUAUAUCAGAAUAGGAUUCAUGUUUACAAUAAAAUUAUCACGAAAUGAAAGUAAAGAAAAGAAACUAAACCUAUAUCAAGAUCAAGGAAGAAUCGUACACAGAUAUAAUGAUAUUGUGAAACAACCGACACAGUUAGACCAGAUGCAACUACAAAGCGUGUAAGUGUAUCACCAUGUGCAUUAUGACAAUGCUUUCCUAUCGAUGUUUACUCGACGAUAACGUUGCUGGGUCUUACAAAUGUGAUUCUACACCAUGGCGUACGUGACCGAUAUGUCGAAGGCGUGCCGUCUGGGACCACAGAAGCUGCAACGGCAUAUACUAAGAAGACGUACACUGAGAACCACAGUUCCGGAAUUUAUCAGGUAAGAUAGUACCCACUUCCAGGAGACUCGAUGCAUGUUAUGUGGAUGAGAAUACAAACUCCAGGGAGUGUGCUCCUAACUGGUGUUCCUAACUGCGCUUAAAAGUUUUACGUUCUUUUUACAAUGAGUUUUAGCACGAAAUGUAAAUUCAUUUCCUUUUUUCUUAAAAUUCUACUCGAGAUAAAUAACAAUUUUAAAGUUUCGUAGUACAUGUACAUGGGAAUCGAGAAAUUUUCGGUCGAAAUCUCAUUUCGAAUUCCAUUAAUUUUUUUUUUUUUUCAUCUUGAAAUCUAAUUCUUGUCUCGAGAAAUCGUUACGAUCGAUGUUCAACUAUUAAACGAUCAAUAGAAAUUAUCGAACAUAAUUCGGUCAGACAAACCGGUAAACCGUUACAAACCGUUAUGUACAAACUUUUUACGUUUGUUUCUUUGUCAGAACGGAAAAUUAGGUUUAUCGUACGGAUGAAUUAUAACAAACGGUGAUCAUGGUAACGUUAACAUUAUCGUUAAAGUAGUUAUGGAUAGUAAGAUCUUUAAAGCGAAGUUCUAGUUUGCGGUCAAGCAAUCUCCAUACCAGACCACCGUUUCUGUAUCACGAUAGAGGAACACUUCUAUGGAUUCAGCUAAUCGAGUUGGCAACUAUUGUGUAAGCACACACGUACACAUAAUCAUGUUACCGGCAGGCAGUCGAACCCGUUGUCGUCGUCCAAAACGACUAUAUGACUAGUAGAAUGUUACUAGUACUUUUAUUACACGUACAUGCUACGUAUGAUGUAAGUAUGAUGUAUACUAGAUUCAUGUAAGUAUAAUAUGAUAAACACCGUGCAACAAAUAUUUGCCUCGAACCUAUAAUUUUAAAACAACACGAUACAAAGAUUUUUUUAUCGUAAUAUUAUUUUCAGGUAUUUUAAAAUUGAAUCAUGCACUAAAUGCUAAUGGGAAAAACGCUUGAUUAGAGACCUAAAUUACAUCACUAUAAUAAUCACUAUACCGAUAUUCAUUCGUCAUGAUGAAUCACGGUGAAUCAAGAUUUGGACUCACUAAUUUUCUCUUUGAUUAAUCACCGGUAGCUACCGGUCGCAGAAAUAUGGACUAAGAAACGAGCAUGGAAUAUCUCGGUAUACAUACUUCGUCAUAAGUAUUGACUAAUGAAAUAUGUAUCAAAAAAUUCUAAAUGAUUACUU